RNAcentral lists this unclassified non-coding RNA (385 nucleotides) under fungal sp. Its description in RNAcentral is "partial internal transcribed spacer region". The stretch from base 1 to 46 matches the Rfam family "Eukaryotic small subunit ribosomal RNA", at positions 1786 to 1831 of the family's 1831-position model. The record is from RNAcentral. Lineage: Eukaryota; Fungi.
AAGUCGUAACAAGGUUUCCGUAGGUGAACCUGCGGAAGGAUCAUUAACACGUAUCCAAACGUUAAAACCCCCCCCGUGAACCUUCAUCCUGCUCUUGUAACCGGCGUAGUUCGCAAUCUCUGAUAAAUCAUAGCCCGGAAAGUUGUACUGUUACAAUCGAGCGGUAGUUCUAUAGGCAAUGUUUCCCCAAGCAGUCAGUGUCGGAAAGUGUCAUUGAUUGUGCAAGGAUAGCGCUUCUACGAUUCCUGUAGACCGUACACUCGGGCAGGAGCUUUGCCAAAGGGUCCCCAUGCCCCCUAAUAACCCCACAGUUUAAUGUGAAGCUCAAUGUAAUACAUUGGGUAAAAAAACCGAACAACUGUUAACAAUGGAUAUCUUGGUUCUC